UGGGGAAUAUUGGACAAUGGGCGCAAGCCUGAUCCAGCCAUGCCGCGUGAGUGACGAAGGCCUUAGGGUUGUAAAGCUCUUUUGGCGGGGAAGAUAAUGACGGUACCCGCAGAAUAAGCUCCGGCUAACUUCGUGCCAGCAGCCGCGGUAAUACGAAGGGAGCUAGCGUUGUUCGGAAUCACUGGGCGUAAAGCGCACGUAGGCGGAUGUGUCAGUCAGGGGUGAAAUCCCGGAGCUCAACUUCGGAACUGCCUUUGAUACAGCACGUCUUGAGUCCGAUAGAGGUGGGUGGAAUUCCUAGUGUAGAGGUGAAAUUCGUAGAUAUUAGGAAGAACACCGGUGGCGAAGGCGGCCCACUGGAUCGGUACUGACGCUGAGGUGCGAAAGCGUGGGGAGCAAACA
RNAcentral lists this ribosomal RNA (402 nucleotides) under uncultured bacterium. RNAcentral describes it as "bacterial SSU rRNA". It matches the Rfam family "Bacterial small subunit ribosomal RNA", at positions 355 to 774 of the family's 1533-position model. RNAcentral also lists the same sequence under 1 other name. The record is from RNAcentral.